RNAcentral lists this long non-coding RNA (206 nucleotides) under Mytilus galloprovincialis (Mediterranean mussel). The record is from RNAcentral. Lineage: Eukaryota; Metazoa; Mollusca; Bivalvia; Mytilida; Mytilidae.
GAAGCACCUGGAUUACCUCACAAUUUGCAUAUGCUGUUGUUUUAAAAAAAAAUAAUAUGGGGACGAAGUCCCCAAUUACGGUAGAAAAAUCAAUAAAAAAAAAAAAAAAAAAAAAAAAAAUCGGGAAAAUUUCCCGAAUUUUUCAUUCUACUAAUGAACUCAAAAUCGUUAACUUUUUUUUUCAGAUCUACUUCCUGUUCCGGCUU